UGUGAGGAUGGGGCUGCGGUGGAUUAGGUAGUUGGCGGGGUAAAGGCCCACCAAGCCGAUGAUCCAUAAGGGCUCUUAGCGGAGAGGCCUGAGAGGGAAUCUGAGACACUAUUCCCAGCCCUACGGGGUGCAGCAGUCGGGAAACUUCUGCAAUGCGCGAAAGCGUGACAGAGCAAGCCAACGUGUUAUUUUCUAUUAUGUAAAUAUCUUUUGUGUGCUGUAAAAAGGCAUACGAAUAAGGACUGGGAGAGACGGGUGCCAGCCGCCGCGGUAAUCCCCGCAGUCCAAGUCGCAACCACAUUUGUUGGGUCUAAAACAUCCGUAGCUUGCUUAGUAAGUCUCUUGUGAAAUCCCACCUCUUAAGGGUGGACGUGCAAGAGAUACUGCAAAGCUUGAGACCGGGAGACGUAAUGAGUACAGACAGGGUACCGGUAAAAUGGGUUGAUCCUCUCUGGACUAACAAUCGCGAAGGCACAUUACGAGCACGGAUCUGACAGUGAGGGAUGAAGGCUAGGGGCGCAAAGUGGAUUAGAUACCCAUGUAGUCCUAGCAGUAAACACUGCACACUGAACAUUAGGGCCUCCUCGAGA
Molecule: ribosomal RNA, 590 nt
Filed under: uncultured archaeon
Lineage: Archaea
Description: bacterial SSU rRNA
Rfam family: Archaeal small subunit ribosomal RNA
Source: RNAcentral